Molecule: ribosomal RNA, 250 nt
Filed under: uncultured bacterium
Lineage: Bacteria
Description: partial 16S ribosomal RNA
Rfam family: Bacterial small subunit ribosomal RNA
Source: RNAcentral
UACGGAGGGUGCAAGCGUUGUUCGGAAUUACUGGGCGUAAAGAGCGUGUAGGCGGUUUGGCAAGUCAGAUGUGAAAGCCCUGAGCUCAACUCAGGAAGUGCAUUUGAAACUGCUUUACUCGAGUAUGGGAGAGGAGAGUGGAAUUCCCAGUGUAGAGGUGAAAUUCGUAGAUAUUGGGAGGAACACCCGUGGCGAAGGCGACUCUCUGGACCAAUACUGACGCUGAGACGCGAAAGCGUGGGGAGCAAAC